GGGAUUGAGAGGGUCUAGAUCUUGUGUGGGCUGUGAGGGACUAAGUAGGUACGCCUAGGCUCAGCUAGGGGCAACUUGGCCCUCUCUACCCUCUGUAUUAGGCUAGACAACGUCCUUAAUAACCAAGGUCUCUAUCCUUCACUCACCCAGUCCUUUAUCAAGGUGGUAUGAAGAACACAGAUUCUGGAGACAGACUACCUGAGUUCUGAUUGUAACUCUCUUAUUCACUUGCUUUGGGAGGGUUAUUUAAUCUCUCUGGGUCUCAGUUCCCUCAUGUGUAAAAGAGAAUAAUAUGUCAUAGGGUUGUAAGAAUUAGAUGGGUUUACAUAUGUAAAAGUACUUGGAAUAGGGUCUGGCACACAGUACUUUCCAAAUCUAGAUAUUACUAUUGUCAUCACCAUUCAUGCCCUGAAGGUAGCAUAAAACUAUGGAGUUGCCCCAACUUGGGGGUUGAACAUCCCUGAAGACACUAUAAAGAAACCUAUGUUAACAGAACAUUAUGUGUAGAUCUGGAGUCAGGACUGCCACCCAAACAGCCAGAACAGAAGGUACCAGUGAUGUCCAUCUCAACAAACUACCUGAGCCCCAAAGCGUCCAUUUUCAGAGGCACAGAGAGCAGGGGAUUAACACGGGAAGACAGCAAUUCACUGAAGAGUGCUUCCAGUGAGGACCAGUUCUCAGGGAUGAGGGCAGCAGGAACAAAGGAGCUGCCAGGAGCCACCCCCACUGAAAACAACUCCAGAAAUAGAGAAAACUCAGCAAGGACAAGAAGGGCAGACAGAGAGAGGCAGAGGUGGACAGGAAGGAACUUCCAAAAUGGACAAAGAACAGGGGUUCCUUGUAACAGUGAACGACGGAAGAGAUCAAAGUGGGAAAGCUGGCUCCAUACCGGGGCAAGUUCAAGCAGAGGGGAAGAGUCCUACCUAGCAAUGACACCAAGUCCCUGAAAGUCGGUUGUCCAGGGAAGCAGAAUCCUUGUCCCUUUGGUUACCUGAGUUUCUCUGAAGACUUUCACCUCAAGUCUGGGCUUUGGGAGCAUGUCUCAAAGUAGCCCUUGCUCAGAUCUCCAGCCUUCCACCUUUGUCAGGACCCGACUCCCAGCUCCCACUCCUACACAACUGAAAAAACACCGAAAGAGUUUUCAGUGAUACAGGUGUGAUAGCUGCAUUUGCUUUCCUCCCUGACUGUUUCUAAUGUGUGUGUCUUCUACCUAACCACUUAUUAUAAAAGCAUUCACUGAUCCCUCAAAGAACUUGCAGGUUUUGCUCCACAAAACAAAGCACUCAGGAAUAAUUCCUCAGUGAUUAGAACUGAAGGAUCAUGUUUCCAGUAGUAGGAAUUAGAGGGCAGAAAGACAGAUUUCUAGGGCCCCAAGAAGGAGUUACAGAUGUCAGACAGCAGAGGCUCAAUCUGAGUGCUCCGUGGUAGAAGUAGCCUGGGUAGAUAGAAAGCAGCUUUCAGAACUAUUAUGGGAGCUGCCACUUGUUUAGCAAAAGCUGCCUAAACCUUUCUUUCCAGUUUGAACUAUCUUUCCCAAAGCAACAGAUUAUGUUUUGCUACCAUGCCCUUUCUUCAAAACAUGCAUGAGGACUUCCCUGGUGGUCCAGUGGUUGGGAAUCCACCUGCCAAUGCAGGGGACACAGGUUCGAUUCCUGGUCCAGGAAGAUUCCACAUGUCACAGGGCAACUAAGCCCACGAGCCACAGUGACUGAGCCUGAGGUCUGGAGCUCACGUGCCGCCGCUACUGCCUAGAGCCUGUGCUCCACAAGAGAAGCCGCCGUGAAAAGAAGCCCACGCCCCACAGCUAGAGAGCAGCCCCCACUCACCUCAGCUAGAGGAAGCCUGAGCGCAGCAACAAAGACCUGCCACACCAAAAG
Molecule: long non-coding RNA, 1877 nt
Organism: Bos taurus (domestic cattle)
Lineage: Eukaryota; Metazoa; Chordata; Mammalia; Artiodactyla; Bovidae
Source: Ensembl